UACGUUCAUCAUUCUUUUUGAAUGACGGAAGUAGACGAAAGUCGAAGGAACGCAUG
Molecule: non-coding RNA, 56 nt
Submitted as: unclassified sequences
Source: Rfam